RNA transcript from Abrus precatorius (Indian licorice), 3580 nucleotides. RefSeq lists it as uncharacterized. The transcript has 4 exons. Lineage: Eukaryota; Viridiplantae; Streptophyta; Magnoliopsida; Fabales; Fabaceae. The record is from RefSeq and is a predicted model, not a curated record.
CUCUCACUUUCUCUCUCUCUCUCUUCUUCCAUGCUAGUUCCUGUUGAUUAGCUCCACUCUAUAUGCACCUCCCUACUCCUUUUUCGUAGCAGUAACUUGAAACUCUCUUAACUCACUCACUCUCUUCUAUCAACUUCUUCUUCUUCAUUUACACAAUUCAUCAAACACCUUCGACACACUUUCUCCUCUCCAAUCUCUGUGCUUCCCUGCCUCAGCAACCGUGCCAGUGUGCAACCCUUUAUGGCUAAAUGCCCCAAAACGAAACUCACUGCCACCACAAUGGUGAAACAACCCUCACCACAAGCUCAACCCCAACACAACACCAUCACUGUCCCGUUCUGACCCUUAACCUCAGGGACCCUCAAGACCCCAUUUUGGGCACAAAUUCAGACACCCUUUGCGCCACAACAAUGGCUUCCACCAACUCCACCUCCACCGACCCUCUUCCUUCUUCUUCCUCCGAUGACCUCGCCGUUAAAGCCGUUAACAAACGUUACGAGGGUCUCAUCACCGUUCGCACCAAAGCGAUCAAGGGUAAAGGAGCGUGGUACUGGGCACACUUGGAACCCAUUUUGAUCCGAAACCCCGACACGGGUUUGCCCAAAUCGGUGAAACUCAAGUGUUCUCUCUGUGACUCUGUGUUCUCUGCUUCUAACCCUUCUAGAACCGCUUCUGAGCACUUAAAGAGAGGAACUUGUUCUAAUUUCAGUUCCGGUUUGAGACCCGGUUCGGUCCCUUCACCUCUUCCAAUUUCCUCUAUCACACCCGGUUCGAACCGGAAGAGGGGUUCGCCCCAAAUGGGUGUUGCAUCACCCACAAGUUAUCAAAACCAUGCCUUGGCAAUGGUGGAGUCUUCAAGGUUUGGUUCUUGUGGUGGGGGUGAAAUGGGGUAUGGUCAGGUGCAUAAUAACACGGUGAACCAGCAUCAUCAUCAUAAUCAUCAGUUGGUGUUGUCUGGUGGGAAGGAGGAUUUGUGUGCUUUGGCUAUGUUUGAGGACAGUGUGAAGAAGCUUAAGAGUCCAAAGACUUCACCUGGUCCUGCUUUAAGUAAGGAUCAGGUUAAUUCUGCUUUGGAUUUGCUUGCUGAUUGGUUCUAUGAAACUUGUGGGUCUGUGUCUUUGUCUACUCUUGAGCAUAGAAAGUUUCAGGCUUUUCUUAGCCAGGUUGGUUUGCCUGCAACUUUGAGGCGUGAGAUUUAUGGUCCUAGGCUUGAUGCUAGGUUUGGUGAGGCCAAAGCUGAGUCCGAAGCUAAGAUAAGGGAUGCCAUGUUUUUUCAGGUGGCAAGUGAUGGUUGGAAGAGUAGGAAUUGGUAUGAGUUGUGUUGUGGUGGUGAGAGUUUGGUUAAGUUUAUGGUGAAUCUUCCUAAUGGGACUAGUGUGUUUCAGAAGGCAGUGUUCACUGGAGGAGUGUUGUCUUCCAAGUAUGCGGAAGAGGUUUUGUGGGAGACGGUGACAGGUGUUAGCGGGAAUAUGGUUCAGAGGUGUGUAGGGAUUGUUGCGGACAAGUUUAAGGCCAAGGCAUUAAGGAACCUCGAGAUUCAGAACCAUUGGAUGGUAAAUACUUCUUGUCAGCUUCAGGGGUUCAAUAGUUUAAUCAAGGAUUUUAACAACGAGCUACCACUUUUCAGGGUUGUGACUGAGAAUUGCCUAAAGGUUGCCAAUUUUAUAGACAGUGAGUCCCAGGUGAGGAAUAUUUUUCUCAAGUACCGAAUGCAGGAGUUGGACUGUGGUGGGUUGAUUCGAGUUCCUUCACCAAAAUGUGAUCCGUUGAAGAACUUUGCGUCUGUGUUUCCAAUGCUGGAAGACAUUUUGAGCUGUUCUAGAGUAAUCCAAAUGAUUAUGUUGGAGGACACGUUUAAGGUAAUGUGCAUGGAGGAUCCAGUGGCCAGAGAAGUCGCUGGAAUGGUUCAGAAUGAGGGGUUUUGGAAUGAUCUAGAAGCCGUUUAUUCGCUUGUGAAGCUUAUCAGAGGAAUGGUUCAGGACAUUGAGGCCGAGAGGCCAUUGAUUGGUCGAUGCUUGCCUCUUUGGGAAGAGCUGAGAACCAAAGUGAAAGAGUGGUGUGAUAAGUACAGUGUUGUGGAAGGGCCUGUGGAGAAAAUAGUUGAAAAGCGGUUUAGAAAAAAUUAUCACCCUGCAUGGUCGGCAGCAUUUAUACUCGAUCCACUUUACUUGAUUAAAGACACAAGUGGAAAGUAUCUUCCUCCGUUCAAGUGUUUGACACGUGAACAAGAGAAAGAUGUAGAUAAGUUACUGACGAGGCUAGCUUCCCGAGAAGAAGCUCAUGUUGUGUUGAUGGAGCUAAUGAAAUGGAGGUCUGAGGGACUUGAUCCACUUUAUGCACAGGCCGUUCAGAUGAAACAAAGGGAUCCGGUGACUGGGAAGAUGAAAGUCGCAAAUCCACUGAGCAGUAGACUUGUUUGGGAAACAUGCUUGAGCGAGUUUAAAUCCCUGGGGAAGAUUGCAGUGAGGCUCAUUUUUCUGCAUGCAACCUCAUGUGGAUUUAAGAGUAAUUGGUCUUUCAUGAGGAAAAUUUCUGCAAAUAAACACUCAAGAAUUGCCUCGGAAAGAGCUCAGAAAAUGAUAUAUAUUGCAGCUCAUGCCAAGCUUGAAAGGAGAGACUUUUCUAGUGAGGAAGAAAAGGACGCAGAGUUGUUUGCAAUGUCUGGUAGUGAGGAUGGCAUGCUGGCUGAGGUCUAUGCUGAUGCACCCUUAGUUGUUGGAAUGGCUUGAAGAAGCAGUAGGGUGGGUGGCAAACCCAACAUAACAUGGUUUUGACGUGUGUCAACCUCGGAAGAAGAUAAGAAUCUUUGUAUCCUGAGAAGCAUUUCUAUUAGAUAUAGUCUGGCAUAUCUCUUGGUGUGUUUGUUCCUACAAAAUGGUUAGGACCCACAUUGGAGAGUGGAUAUCCAUAUCAAUGGUUGUCAUGGUCAAAGGAGAGUGAGGUUUAUCUCAAUGUUGAAAGUUAGAAUUUUGCAGAAUUAACCGUUUGGAUUGCCAUGAUUGCUAAAAAGGCUUUGGAAAAAAAGUUGAAGGAAGGAGUGUAGCCUCAAAAAGCAAUUUGCUACGUCAAUAUUUCAGAUUAUUGGAGUCAUGAACAGCAGGUUGGUGGUUCAAGAGUUCUGGUGGUGAUGGAAUUCCAUAUCAUUUUUUCACUCUUCUUGUCUGUCAUAUGCACAUGAUGACAGUGGAUCAUGUCGGCAAUGGCAAGCAAUUCUGACUGCUGACCAACUAAAAGGAAAAUACUUUUUUUCCCCUUUUUCUUUUUUUAAUUUUUUAAAAAUAUUUUUCCCUUUUGCUUGUUGUAUGGUAUAAUUUCAUUUUUCAUUACAGUCUGGUUGUUCUUGUAUAGGAGAAGAGGAUGUUAUGAUUGGCAUAGGACAAGACCAUCUUUUUACAAGAAUCUUGACACUUUCAAUGUUCCCCCAUGAUUAAUCUUUCUUUUUAUUGUCUCUCCUUUUUCUUUCCACUAAACACAACCCCUCCUCUUGUUUUACAAUUGAAGAUACCAUUUUCUAACCAGAUAAUUUUAGUGUCAUGGACAUGUAUUUUGACUCUUAACCCUUCAUUGCCCUCAUGAUUUU